UAUAUUGUGCAAAAUUUACCACACUACCCACUGAGGGUCAUCUAAGAUUCCUAAGUAACUAUACGUAGCAAACAUCUGCACCGUGGGCUGAUUAAAAUAUUUAGUUGUAGGAGAAAGUUAUCUCGAUGCCGAGUUUAUAAUUUUAAAGGAAGACUCAGGCCAGACAGCUAAACGUGGAAGAGGGUGGCAUGGCAAGUUGCCUAAUGCUCCUUUUGGCACACCAGAAUUUGGAAGGAACUGAACAUCUUCUCAGAAAGGGAAAGCCAAUGAUAUCUUCGACAACAACAAAAAUACCAUAUAUAUUAGAAGAUGUUGAAAAUAGUGUUCUACAGAUUGAACAUGUAUUGAAAUAAUUUGAAAUUUGAAAUGAUCUGCAGGUGACGUGAAGCACCACUACUUCCUGCUAACACUUAAUCCUUGGGCUCAGGCUGGAAGAAACAUUGAAAGCAGGGUGUAUUUUCCAGGACUCUGAGAGGGCAGGUCCUGGACUCCUACUUCCAAAAUUGGUAAAUACCUCUAGGGAAAAGUAGCCCCAAAUGCCAAGGUCUUCU
Molecule: long non-coding RNA, 551 nt
Filed under: Homo sapiens (human)
Lineage: Eukaryota; Metazoa; Chordata; Mammalia; Primates; Hominidae
Description: HSALNT0323251
Source: RNAcentral